This is a non-coding RNA of Parasteatoda tepidariorum (common house spider), 1077 nucleotides long. NCBI's taxonomy places the organism in Eukaryota, Metazoa, Arthropoda, Arachnida, Araneae, Theridiidae. The record is from RefSeq and is a predicted model, not a curated record.
AAAACUUUACAUAAAAAUGAAAAUCAUUCUUAUAUUGUAAAAGUCAGUUUUUCUACUUAUGCAUUACAUUUGGAUGGUUUGUUCAGUGUCUAAAAUAAUGUCAAAACAUACCUAAAUUAUUUUAAAAGGCUUAAAUUGUAUGAAGCAGUGUGACAUGAAUGCAUAAAUUAGAUAUUAGAGAUCUAAUACUUUUAUUUAUUCAAACUGCAUUCUUGUUUUAAUCAUUUCUAAUUAUCCAAUUUUUUUUAUGUUUCAUUUACUUUAUAUGAAUGAUGCUUGAUAAAAAUUUCUAAGAAACAAUAUUUUUUUUAAUUAAUUUUUUUGAUUGAAAUGUAAAGUUAAUGUGUAAAGUGUAAGUUAAAAACCUUUUUAAAUAAACUUCAUAGCUUAUUAUAAAGAUUGUAUCAAUGCUAAGAACAAGUUUAUGUAUAUUAUAAAUAAUUUAGUCUACUAAUUUUAUUGUAAUAUUAUAUGUGUUUAUGAAAAUAAUAUACUAAAAAAGUAAAAAUUAUUUUUUACCUAAGGUCAGAUGGUAUUGGAACUGUGACUGUUGAAAAGUGAUAUUUUUGCCAAUAUUGAGGUACAAUUACGAAUACUUCUUGAAAACCGAAUUACUCAUUUUAGGAGAGGAAGGAGCACUUAUUGGUGCAGGUGCAUCUGUUGCUGGUAUUGGAUCAGAUAUUGGAGGCAGCAUCAGAAUUCCAGCGUUCUUCAAUGGAGUGUUUGGCCAUAAACCUACGCCCAAUUUGUUAGAAGUUAUAUCGAAUUAUGGAACCUAUCCUCCGUCUGGUGAGAGAGAAUUCGUUCCAUAUUUAAGUAUGGGCCCCUUGUGUCGUUAUGCAACCGACCUCAUUCCAUUGAUGAAAGUUCUCACUGGAAAAAGUGCACCUCUUUUGAACCUAGACAAACCUGUAAGUACUUUUUUUUACUGUUAAUUUGCUUUAUUGCUUAUGAAUGAAAUCUCCGAUUACUUUUCAACUAUUUAAAACCCUUACGGAGAUCUGUUUAGAAGAAAUUUAGGUUCGUUAACAGACCCUUCACAAAAUAUCUUUUCAUAAGAACGGACCCUUUACAAAU